RNAcentral lists this long non-coding RNA (446 nucleotides) under Astyanax mexicanus (Mexican tetra). RNAcentral describes it as "lncRNA (ENSAMXG00005020252.1)". The record is from RNAcentral. Lineage: Eukaryota; Metazoa; Chordata; Actinopteri; Characiformes; Acestrorhamphidae.
GGAACUCCGGUAAUGAGAUACUCUGUGAGAUAUCGUGCUGAAUGUGAGACUGAAGAGGAGCUCCAGCGUUCAGACUGAAAACAGGAUGUCCCUAACAGUGGCCAGGACUGAGGGGGUGACUGUAUUCAGCAUCACCUCCAAUCCAAAGAGCAAAUGUCCACUGAUCUUCCUGCUUCUACGCACCAUCUGCUGUAGCCCGAUUUGCUUAGUGUCUCGGAACCUGAAGCAGGAGCUGGGCUCUACUUACACAGUUCUGGGGAUGAUGCAGAUAGGGCUGGAGAUCACCAUGAUUGUGUUGGGCGUCCUUCAGUUUUAUGUCACGGUCAGCUGGUGUGUUCUGAGCAUGCAGGUUCUGUACAAGGAGAAGAAAGGAGUCAUGAUGGUAAAGAUGUCUUUUAAAGAGUGCUGAUAAUGUUAACAUGUUAACGCAUGUGCUUAAUCUGGAA